AAACCUCCAGCCUAAGCCAACAUGGUUAUUCACAUGAUAAUUAAGAAAAUGCAAAUGACGCUGGAGACGUUGAAGCACUAUCUCUUGAUUUUUAGUUUCCAUCAAGAAAACAAGGUCGGGCUUUUCCUUUGCCACAAGGGCCUUUAGAACUUGAACUGUCAGGGGAUUGCCCAAACUCUGACAAUUCCAGCUUAGUAGCUUCAUUUGUGAGUGGGUGGCUGUUGAGGGCUAGCCACCAUAGCCCAUUUUCCUACCUCCUUUGCGCGAAGAUAGGUGUGUCUAGAAGAAGAGCUUCAUCUAGGUUAUGUUGUGCUGAAUUUCUCAUCUCAUAGGGAUUGUAUCGCUUAAGCUUUUUAGCAGCACCUACUUUAGGAGUAUUAGCGCAGUGGUGAUAGAGUUGCCCUGCAGUAUUCCAUCUUGACGGCAAUGCAACUUUGGAGCUGCAGAGAUAGUGCUAAGUGCUGCAGUUGGUUGCUGCAGGGCUGCUGCUUCAGCAAUGGCACUAGGAGGCAAUAAAGGAAGAGGGUGGGUCGAAGAGGGAGGAGUUUUAGGAAGGCUGAGGACUUGCACCCAGAAAGCACAACUGGAAAAAUCGUAGCAGUGUAGUGGUGUAUUGGGUAUCCAUGGCUUGAAGAUGAUCAAAUGACUAGAAAAAAGCCAAGGCCCACCAUCCAGGAUUCUCUGUUUGUCUAAAGCUGACUGAAAUUUUGCAACAUACAGGCCCGCCUCUCAUUGGGAUAUCUCCACUUGGCCAGUUCGCCAGGCAUGCU
Molecule: long non-coding RNA, 770 nt
Organism: Eucalyptus grandis
Lineage: Eukaryota; Viridiplantae; Streptophyta; Magnoliopsida; Myrtales; Myrtaceae
Exons: 3
Source: RefSeq, a predicted model, not a curated record